RNAcentral lists this small RNA (78 nucleotides) under Salmonella enterica. Its description in RNAcentral is "partial RtT sRNA". It matches the Rfam family "RtT RNA", at positions 1 to 77 of the family's 130-position model. Rfam says of the family: This family represents a bacterial cis-regulatory element known as RtT RNA. The exact function of RtT is unknown although it is thought that it may be involved in changing the cellular response in relation to amino acid starvation. Lineage: Bacteria; Pseudomonadati; Pseudomonadota; Gammaproteobacteria; Enterobacterales; Enterobacteriaceae. The record is from RNAcentral. RNAcentral also lists the same sequence under 2 other names.
AUUCUACCCAUGUGGGGAAGGAUGAGAAGCUUCGACUAAGGUUCGAUUCGAGCGCAGCGAGAAAGCGUUGCCGCAGGC